Molecule: ribosomal RNA, 303 nt
Filed under: uncultured bacterium
Lineage: Bacteria
Description: partial 16S ribosomal RNA
Rfam family: Bacterial small subunit ribosomal RNA
Source: RNAcentral
AGCAGCAGCCGCGGUAAUACGAAGGGGGCUAGCGUUGUUCGGAUUUACUGGGCGUAAAGGGCGCGUAGGCGGACUGAUAAGUCAGGGGUGAAAUCCCAAGGCUCAACCUUGGAACUGCCUUUGAUACUGUUUGUCUUGAGUUCGAGAGAGGUAAGUGGAACUGCGAGUGUAGAGGUGAAAUUCGUAGAUAUUCGCAAGAACACCAGUGGCGAAGGCGGCUUACUGGCUCGAUACUGACGCUGAGGCGCGAAAGCGUGGGGAGCAAACAGGAUUAGAUACCCCAGUAGUCCCUGUCUCUUAUAC